CUAGGGGUCGGGGCAACCACUGGAAACGGUGGCUAAUACCGGAUAAGCCUUUGGGUAAAAGAUUUAUUGCCCCAAGAGGAGCUCGCGUCUGAUUAGCUAGUUGGUGAGGUAAAAGCUCACCAAGGCAGCGAUCAGUAGCUGGUCUGAGAGGACGAUCAGCCACACUGGGACUGAGACACGGCCCAGACUCCUACGGGAGGCAGCAGUGGGGAAUUUUCCGCAAUGGGCGAAAGCCUGACGGAGCAAGACCGCGUGAGGGAGGAAGGCUCUUGGGUUGUAAACCUCUUUUCUCAGGGAAGAAGCUCUGACGGUACCUGAGGAAUCAGCCUCGGCUAACUCCGUGCCAGCAGCCGCGGUAAUACGGAGGAGGCAAGCGUUAUCCGGAAUUAUUGGGCGUAAAGCGUCCGCAGGUGGCGAUUCAAGUCUGCUGUCAAAGCACGGGGCUUAACUCCGUUAAGGCCGUGGAAACUGAAUAGCUAGAGUGCCGUAGGGGUAGAGGGAAUUCCCGGUGUAGCGGUGAAAUGCGUAGAGAUCGGGAAGAACAUCGGUGGCGAAAGCGCUCUACUGGACGGCAACUGACGCUCAGGGACGAAAGCUAGG
RNAcentral lists this ribosomal RNA (600 nucleotides) under uncultured organism. Its description in RNAcentral is "bacterial SSU rRNA". It matches the Rfam family "Bacterial small subunit ribosomal RNA", at positions 130 to 764 of the family's 1533-position model. The record is from RNAcentral.